UAACGGGAAGUUGGGCUUGAAUCAAUAGGAUCAUCCCUUCUCAGUCUUCGCUUCUGGUGUGUCCGGAAAGUGAAAGUUUCGAAGGGCGUAGCGAUCCUGACGUUUUAAGCGGAAGUCAACAACAAGCGAAGAGGCCAGUUUACAAAAUUUCGUUAUUACUGUGUUCUCUAGAUACCUGUUUGCGUUCUCUAAGAGGUUUAAGCGAUCCCAACGCGGAAGUUGACCACAAGAGUUAAAGUGCUCAAUGAACCACCGUGAAAACAGAGGGACGCAGCGGCAGAGGGAAGGAAAGUUUAAAGGACACCAGAGGCAUAUAAUUGAGAUAUCUGGUAACCCGCCCGCUGUGUAUGUAGAGACGCCAAGCACUUGGCUUGCCUCACUAGUUGUUUUGGCGUUAACGGUGGUAGCUAUUGUACCAAUCUGUACAAGUAGUUGGUGUUGGUCAAUGUUGUCAAUGAUUUACGAUGCAGUUUGGACGAAAUUAGCCGCCAAUUAAUUGUUAACAUACAAUUUAGAUUUAGAUGGCGUUCUUUAUUUGUUAGUAAAAAAUCAUUUCUGAUCUUUGAAUAGUUGAGUUGUGUUGUUUUAACUCGUAUUUCUCGCGAAGGAUGUAAAAAACCACACUGAACAGACUAGUAUACUUUCCAACCGACGAUUUAGAUAAAAAUGACGUUCUGUAUAUCAACAUGACUUGCUGUCUUUAGAUAGUAUUGUUAAGUUGUGUUAAAUUGUAUCUUUCAUGAAGCACUGCAAAAGCGAAAUGUAUCAGUUGGCAUGAACAUUUGUCUGUUUUUGUAUUAAGCUCCCCCUUCUCCCACACCCCUUCGCAAUCUCACGGCAGUUAGGUGUGGAAUCCUAAGUCCUCUAAUCUGAUUGGCUAAUUCCUUGCGCUCCAGCAGACCGGAUUUUUUCAUUCAGACCCCGGGUCCGCGGACCGCUCCGAGUGUUUCAGUUUGUUCUUUUGUAUCGUUUCAUGAGAGAGAGGCUUAAAGAAGUAAACAUUGUAAUAAGUGACUCAGUUAUGGAUGGAUUCAGGCAAUGAAAUCUAUCAAAGCGAAAACAAAGUUUAUUAUCCUGAAGAGGAAAACAUACUUCAAGAUAAAGAAAACUAUGGAAAGAAAAACAGCACUACCAAAUAAAACUGUUUGUUAAAAGAUUGUUCAGGUGAAUGUACAGAAGUACAAACUUGAAAGUGGACUCAGACGUCUCAAAUUCCUCAGCAAACUGUCAUCAAUAUGUUCAAACAAAUGCGUUUCCCUCUAAGUUUUCCCAAGUCACUGUCUUUAUCAAUCAUCUUCAGGAUUAGUCUCUCUGGACGAUCGUGUCGCAUAUUAAAAAAAUCAAAUGUUUCUCUCACAUCCAAUAAUCAAUCUAAAAACCAAUCAGACUUCUAGAGUUUGUAAUUUCAGAACUGUGAUUGACAAAUGAACAGGACUUAAAACCUUCGCUUUCUUCCAUUCAAGCCUUUUUUCAUACAUUCUCAUUCUCUUAAGAAGAGCUAAAGAUGAAUGCAUAAGCUUCGGCCAAUAAGGCAGAGGUGGGGCAUGCUUGGCAUUGUUUUCCGAUGUGUUAAGUCGACCUUAUGGCGGGGCUGGAGAAAGCAAACAGCCAAAUCCUAGCGAAUGCAUCGCAAUUUCGAAGGUUAGGUUGAAAUUGAUAACGUUUUAAUGUACGUUACUAUUAUGAUUAUUUUUUAUCAUCUUUUAGCUCUUAUAUUUCAAAACGUAGCGAGAUCUUUUU
This 1740-nucleotide long non-coding RNA is filed under the name Stylophora pistillata. Its description in RNAcentral is "uncharacterized LOC111343913". Lineage: Eukaryota; Metazoa; Cnidaria; Anthozoa; Scleractinia; Pocilloporidae. The record is from RNAcentral.